Molecule: long non-coding RNA, 339 nt
Filed under: Phoenix dactylifera (date palm)
Lineage: Eukaryota; Viridiplantae; Streptophyta; Magnoliopsida; Arecales; Arecaceae
Description: long non-coding RNA (PDAC_LNC001385)
Source: RNAcentral
UUGAGUAGAGGGUCAGAGGGCAGAGGUAGAGCCGAGAUUCUGAGCUUCCUCUUGUGCUCUCAACAGGAGUGACCUUCUCUUCUCAACAGGAACCUCCUCUUGUGUAGCACUUGAACACUUGCUAAAUGCAAACUAAAAAUUAAAUUGCUAGAAGAGCACUUUAGAAGAGAGAAAUAGUAGUAGUAGAGAAGGAGAGAAUAGUUGGUUUGGUGUGGUGAGAAUGAGGGAGGAAAGGGGUAUUUAUAGGACUCCAAAUUUUUUUUUCCAAAAUACCCCUCAAAUUAGCCGUUUUUGGACUGUUGGGAGGGGUAUUUUGGGAAAAAACCAAAAAUAGCCGUU